CGAGCAGGACGGGCGACCGCUGCCCCAACUCCUUGGGGGAGAGGAAAGUCCGGGCUCCUCCGGGCAGGGUGCUGGGUAACUCCCAGGCAUCCCGGAGGCUCUCGCAGCCAAUGGGAUGACGGAAAGUGGCACAGAAACACACCGCCGGGUAGGCCCUUGCAAAUGCCUAACGGAGAGCAAGUCUUUCUUGAAGCAUUCGCAAGGUCCCGGUAAGGGUGAAAUCGGGCGGUAAGAGCGUCCGGCUGGACUGGCGACAGGUCAGCGGCCAAACCCCACCUGGAGCAAGGCCGAAUAGGGGAACGAUGGGUGCCCGGCCCGUUCCCGGGUUGGCUGCUUGAGUCCCUCGGAAACGGGGGACCUAGAUAGAUGGUCGCCACGCAGCCAAGUAUGUCUGCGUACAGAACCCGGCUUAUAGUCCUGUCCGAUCC
RNAcentral lists this RNase P RNA (428 nucleotides) under Dehalococcoidia bacterium. RNAcentral's name for it is "RNase P RNA component class A". It matches the Rfam family "Bacterial RNase P class A". From Rfam's summary of the family: Ribonuclease P (RNase P) is a ubiquitous endoribonuclease, found in archaea, bacteria and eukarya as well as chloroplasts and mitochondria. Its best characterised activity is the generation of mature 5'-ends of tRNAs by cleaving the 5'-leader elements of precursor-tRNAs. Cellular RNase Ps are ribonucleoproteins. The record is from RNAcentral. Lineage: Bacteria; Bacillati; Chloroflexota; Dehalococcoidia.